RNAcentral lists this non-coding RNA (49 nucleotides) under Trichobilharzia regenti. The record is from RNAcentral. Lineage: Eukaryota; Metazoa; Platyhelminthes; Trematoda; Strigeidida; Schistosomatidae.
AUUCUGCCGGAUGACGAGUCCAGCACAGGACGAAACGCUUGUCCAGAAU